UCCCUGGUGGCUCAGAGGUUAAAGUGUCUGCCUCCAAUGCAGGAGACCCAGGUUCAAUUCCUGGGUUGGGAA
Molecule: transfer RNA, 72 nt
Filed under: Bos taurus (domestic cattle)
Lineage: Eukaryota; Metazoa; Chordata; Mammalia; Artiodactyla; Bovidae
Also listed under: 4 other names
Description: tRNA-Trp (CCA) (tRNA-Trp-CCA-10-1)
Rfam family: tRNA
About the family: Transfer RNA (tRNA) molecules are approximately 80 nucleotides in length. Their secondary structure includes four short double-helical elements and three loops (D, anti-codon, and T loops).
Source: Rfam by way of RNAcentral